AGUGAACGCUGGCGGUAGGCCUAACACAUGCAAGUCGAACGGCAGCACAGCAGUAGCAAUACUGUGGGUGGCGAGUGGCGGACGGGUGAGGAAUACAUCGGAAUCUACCUUUUCGUGGGGGAUAACGUAGGGAAACUUACGCUAAUACCGCAUACGACCUUAGGGUGAAAGUAGGGGAUCGCAAGACCUUACGCGGAUAGAUGAGCCGAUGUCGGAUUAGCUAGUUGGCGGGGUAAAGGCCCACCAAGGCUACGAUCCGUAGCUGGUCUGAGAGGAUGAUCAGCCACACUGGAACUGAGACACGGUCCAGACUCCUACGGGAGGCAGCAGUGGGGAAUAUUGGACAAUGGGCGCAAGCCUGAUCCAGCCAUACCGCGUGGGUGAAGAAGGCCUGGUGUAAG
This 401-nucleotide ribosomal RNA is filed under the name uncultured bacterium. Its description in RNAcentral is "bacterial SSU rRNA". It matches the Rfam family "Bacterial small subunit ribosomal RNA", at positions 29 to 429 of the family's 1533-position model. The record is from RNAcentral.